Molecule: transfer RNA, 67 nt
Filed under: Scelimena melli
Lineage: Eukaryota; Metazoa; Arthropoda; Insecta; Orthoptera; Tetrigidae
Description: tRNA-Tyr
Source: RNAcentral
AAAUAGGGGGACAUAAACUAUCCCAUAAAAUGAUUUACAAUCAAUCGCUUAUAUCAGCCACCUAAUC